GUAGACCGCCUGGGGAGUACGGUCGCAAGAUUAAAACUCAAAGGAAUUGACGGGGACCCGCACAAGCGGUGGAUGAUGUGGAUUAAUUCGAUGCAACGCGAAAAACCUUACCUACCCUUGACAUGGCUGGAAUCCCUGAGAGAUUGGGGAGUGCUCGAAAGAGAACCAGUACACAGGUGCUGCAUGGCUGUCGUCAGCUCGUGUCGUGAGAUGUUGGGUUAAGUCCCGCAACGAGCGCAACCCUUGUCAUUAGUUGCUACGAAAGGGCACUCUAAUGAGACUGCCGGUGACAAACC
Molecule: ribosomal RNA, 296 nt
Filed under: Duganella vulcania
Lineage: Bacteria; Pseudomonadati; Pseudomonadota; Betaproteobacteria; Burkholderiales; Oxalobacteraceae
Description: partial 16S ribosomal RNA
Rfam family: Bacterial small subunit ribosomal RNA
Source: RNAcentral